This 23-nucleotide non-coding RNA is filed under the name Rattus norvegicus (Norway rat). The record is from RNAcentral. Lineage: Eukaryota; Metazoa; Chordata; Mammalia; Rodentia; Muridae.
UGUUAAUGGAUGACUCAGCUUUU